Molecule: ribosomal RNA, 463 nt
Filed under: uncultured bacterium
Lineage: Bacteria
Description: partial 16S ribosomal RNA
Rfam family: Bacterial small subunit ribosomal RNA
Source: RNAcentral
GAUGAACGCUGACAGAAUGCUUAACACAUGCAAGUCUUUGGCGAAGCUGUGCUUGCACAGCCUAGCCAAGGCGGACGGGUGAGUAACGCGUAAGGAACUUGCCCUGCAGUCAGGGAUAACAGACGGAAACGACUGAUAAGACCUGGUAAAGUCAGGCGGACUCAUGUCCAGCCUGAUGAAAAGAGAUGCUGCAGGAGAGCCUUGCGUCCUAUUAGCUUGUUGGUGGGGUAACGGCCCACCAAGGCGAUGAUAGGUAGCCGGCCUGAGGGGGUGGACGGCCACAAGGGGAAGGAGAGACGGCCCUUACUCCUACGGGAGGCAGCAGUGGGGAAUAUUGGACGAGGGGGGCAACCCUGAUCCAGCAAUUCUGUGUGCACGAUGAAGGUUUUCGGAUUGUAAAGUGCUUUCAGCAGGGAAGAAAAAAAUGACGGUACCUGCAGAAGAAGCGACGGCUAAAUACGUG